RNAcentral lists this ribosomal RNA (435 nucleotides) under uncultured bacterium. Its description in RNAcentral is "bacterial SSU rRNA". It matches the Rfam family "Bacterial small subunit ribosomal RNA", at positions 954 to 1392 of the family's 1533-position model. The record is from RNAcentral.
GCAGAACGCGAAGAACCUUACCCACCUUUGACAUGUACGGAAUCCUUUAGAGAUAGAGGAGUGCUCGAAAGAGAGCCGUAACACAGGUGCUGCAUGGCUGUCGUCAGCUCGUGUCGUGAGAUGUUGGGUUAAGUCCCGCAACGAGCGCAACCCUUGCCAUUAGUUGCUACGAAAGGGCACUCUAAUGGGACUGCCGGUGACAAACCGGAGGAAGGUGGGGAUGACGUCAAGUCCUCAUGGCCCUUAUAGGUGGGGCUACACACGUCAUACAAUGGCUGGUACAGAGGGUUGCCAACCCGCGAGGGGGGAGCCAAUCCCACAAAGCCAGUCGUAGUCCGGAUCGCAGUCUGCAACUCGACUGCGUGAAGUCGGAAUCGCUAGUAAUCGCGGAUCAGAAUGUCGCGGUGAAUACGUUCCCGGGUCUUGUACACACCG